RNAcentral lists this ribosomal RNA (600 nucleotides) under Alteromonas macleodii. Its description in RNAcentral is "bacterial SSU rRNA". It matches the Rfam family "Bacterial small subunit ribosomal RNA", at positions 77 to 677 of the family's 1533-position model. Lineage: Bacteria; Pseudomonadati; Pseudomonadota; Gammaproteobacteria; Alteromonadales; Alteromonadaceae. The record is from RNAcentral.
AGCUUGCUAGAAGAUGACGAGUGGCGGACGGGUGAGUAAUGCUUGGGAACUUGCCUUUGCGAGGGGGAUAACAGUUGGAAACGACUGCUAAUACCGCAUAAUGUCUUCGGACCAAACGGGGCUUCGGCUCCGGCGCAAAGAGAGGCCCAAGUGAGAUUAGCUAGUUGGUAAGGUAACGGCUUACCAAGGCGACGAUCUCUAGCUGUUCUGAGAGGAAGAUCAGCCACACUGGGACUGAGACACGGCCCAGACUCCUACGGGAGGCAGCAGUGGGGAAUAUUGCACAAUGGGGGAAACCCUGAUGCAGCCAUGCCGCGUGUGUGAAGAAGGCCUUCGGGUUGUAAAGCACUUUCAGUUGUGAGGAAAAGUUAGUAGUUAAUACCUGCUAGCCGUGACGUUAACAACAGAAGAAGCACCGGCUAACUCCGUGCCAGCAGCCGCGGUAAUACGGAGGGUGCGAGCGUUAAUCGGAAUUACUGGGCGUAAAGCGCACGCAGGCGGUUUGUUAAGCUAGAUGUGAAAGCCCCGGGCUCAACCUGGGAUGGUCAUUUAGAACUGGCAGACUAGAGUCUUGGAGAGGGGAGUGGAAUUCCAGGUGUA